This 299-nucleotide signal recognition particle RNA is filed under the name Cavia aperea (Brazilian guinea pig). Its description in RNAcentral is "Metazoan signal recognition particle RNA (ENSCAPG00000002560.1)". It matches the Rfam family "Metazoan signal recognition particle RNA". Rfam says of the family: The signal recognition particle (SRP) is a universally conserved ribonucleoprotein. It is involved in the co-translational targeting of proteins to membranes. The eukaryotic SRP consists of a 300-nucleotide 7S RNA and six proteins: SRPs 72, 68, 54, 19, 14, and 9. The record is from RNAcentral. Lineage: Eukaryota; Metazoa; Chordata; Mammalia; Rodentia; Caviidae.
GCCGGGCGUGGUGGCGCGCACCUGUAGUCCCAGCUACUCAGGAGGCUGAGGUAGGAGGAUCACUUGAGUCCAGGAGUUCUGGGCUGCAGUGCGCUAUGCCAAUCGGGUGUCCACACUAAGUUUGGCAUCAAUAUGGUGACCUCCCGGGAGCAGGGGACCACCAGGUUGCCUAAGGAGGGGUGAACCGGCCCAGGUUGGAAACGGAGCAGGUCAAAACUCCCGUGCUGAUCAGUAGUGGGAUCGUGCCUGUGAAUAGCCACUGCACUCCAGCCUGGGCAACAGAGUGAGACCCUGUCUCU